This 27-nucleotide non-coding RNA is filed under the name Homo sapiens (human). The record is from RNAcentral. Lineage: Eukaryota; Metazoa; Chordata; Mammalia; Primates; Hominidae.
UGGCCACAAUCUACCUCACUCUUAUCA